RNAcentral lists this ribosomal RNA (281 nucleotides) under uncultured Staphylococcus sp. RNAcentral describes it as "partial 16S ribosomal RNA". It matches the Rfam family "Bacterial small subunit ribosomal RNA", at positions 81 to 355 of the family's 1533-position model. The record is from RNAcentral. Lineage: Bacteria; Bacillati; Bacillota; Bacilli; Caryophanales; Staphylococcaceae.
CUCCUUUGACGUUAGCGGCGGACGGGUGAGUAACACGUGGGUAACCUACCUAUAAGACUGGGAUAACUUCGGGAAACCGGAGCUAAUACCGGAUAAUAUUUCGAACCGCAUGGUUCGAUAGUGAAAGGUGGUUUUGCUAUCACUUAUAGAUGGACCCGCGCCGUAUUAGCUAGUUGGUAAGGUAACGGCUUACCAAGGCGACGAUACGUAGCCGGCCUGAGAGGGUGAUCGGCCACACUGGAACUGAGACACGGUCCAGACUCCUACGGGAGGCAGCAGCC